UUUAUGGAGAGUUUGAUCCUGGCUCAGGAUGAACGCUGGCGGCGUGCCUAAUACAUGCAAGUCGAGCGAACGGACGAGAAGCUUGCUUCUCUGAUGUUAGCGGCGGACGGGCGAGUAACACGUGGAUAACCUACCUAUAAGACUGGGAUAACUUCGGGAAACCGGAGCUAAUACCGGAUAAUAUUUUGAACCGCAUGGUUCAAAAGU
Molecule: ribosomal RNA, 207 nt
Filed under: Staphylococcus aureus
Lineage: Bacteria; Bacillati; Bacillota; Bacilli; Caryophanales; Staphylococcaceae
Description: partial 16S ribosomal RNA
Rfam family: Bacterial small subunit ribosomal RNA
Source: RNAcentral